This is a long non-coding RNA of Eurytemora carolleeae, 309 nucleotides long. RefSeq lists it as uncharacterized. NCBI's taxonomy places the organism in Eukaryota, Metazoa, Arthropoda, Copepoda, Calanoida, Temoridae. The transcript has 3 exons. The record is from RefSeq and is a predicted model, not a curated record.
GGUGGAGUAAAAUACAAUGGAAAAGCUUCUGUAUUCAAUGGAUUAAUUGGUAUGCUUGAGAGAGGAGAGAUUGAUGUAGCUGGGGCUGGGCUUUUUGUAACAUUUGACAGAACUCAGGUUGCAGAUUUUGGAGGCAGUAUGUUUCGUCUGGACACAUUUUGUUUCAUGACCAGACCUGGAAAUGAAAUUGAUUUCAUGGCCUUUUUUAAGCCAUUAAACCCGAUUAUUUGGUUGUGGGUGUUAUGCUCUGCAGCAGGUUUAACUUUAUUUCUCUUUUUUCUUUCCUUCAUCACACACAAUGAAACUCAG